GCAGUGACGCAAUCUCGGCUCACUGCAACCUUCGCCUCUCGGGAGGCUGAGGUGGGAGGAUCGCUUGAGCCCAGGAGUUCUGGGCUGUAGUGCGCUAUGCCGAUCGGGUGUCCGCACUAAGUUCGGCAUCAAUAUGGUGACCUCCCGGGAGCGGGGGACCACCAGGUUGCCUAAGGAGGGGUGAACCGGCCCAGGUCGGAAACGGAGCAGGUCAAAACUCCCGUGCUGAUCAGUAGUGGGAUUGCGCCUGUGAAUAGCCACUGCACUCCAGCCUGGGCAACAUAGUGAGACCCUG
Molecule: signal recognition particle RNA, 295 nt
Filed under: Homo sapiens (human)
Lineage: Eukaryota; Metazoa; Chordata; Mammalia; Primates; Hominidae
Description: LHRI_LNC2063.10
Rfam family: Metazoan signal recognition particle RNA
About the family: The signal recognition particle (SRP) is a universally conserved ribonucleoprotein. It is involved in the co-translational targeting of proteins to membranes.
Source: RNAcentral